AGGUCAAACACUAGUGUGGCUGUGACAUGAUGAUCAGAGCCCUCGACGGUGAUCAGAUUGCGGUGAUCGACUACCCGCAAAAGGUGAUGUAUUUUGAACACAGUACAGUAAAAAGUUUACUGUUUUAAAUUUGAAUUUCAAAUUUAAAUGCAUGCUGCUGUAUCAUAUUUAGAUCCUAGUAUAUGGUUAAUUAGUAUUAAUUAAUGAGAUUAAUUAAUAAUUCUACUGUAAAAUAGUAAUUUUAAAAAGUUUUAAAAUUACCAUUUUGCCCCUGCACUGAAUUUUCGCAUCAAUGGUAGUGCCUCAUCAAUGAACACAUCUGGUCAAGAAUCAAC
RNAcentral lists this long non-coding RNA (335 nucleotides) under Elaeis guineensis (African oil palm). Its description in RNAcentral is "long non-coding RNA (EGUI_LNC058141)". Lineage: Eukaryota; Viridiplantae; Streptophyta; Magnoliopsida; Arecales; Arecaceae. The record is from RNAcentral.